UACGUAGGGUGCGAGCGUUGUCCGGAAUUAUUGGGCGUAAAGAGCUCGUAGGCGGUGUGUCACGUCGGCCGUGAAAACCUGCAGCUUAACUGUGGGCGUGCGGUCGAUACGGGCAUCACUGGAGUUCGGCAGGGGAGACUGGAAUUCCUGGUGUAGCGGUGAAAUGCGCAGAUAUCAGGAGGAACACCGGUGGCGAAGGCGGGUCUCUAGGCCGAUACUGACGCUGAGGAGCGAAAGCGUGGGGAGCAAACAGG
RNAcentral lists this ribosomal RNA (254 nucleotides) under uncultured bacterium. Its description in RNAcentral is "partial 16S ribosomal RNA". It matches the Rfam family "Bacterial small subunit ribosomal RNA", at positions 524 to 776 of the family's 1533-position model. The record is from RNAcentral.